GCAGAAACAGCAUUUUUUAAGCAGAAACAGCAUUUUUUUACAGCAGAAACAGCAUUUUUACAGCAGAAACAGCAUUUUUACAGCAGAAACAGCAUUUUUUACAGCAGAAACAGAUAGAGAAACGUAAGAAGUAAUAAUCAACUCACAUCUGCUGUGGUAUUGUGAAUCAAGGACUGAGCAUACAUAGUUCUACAGGAUUAAUAUGAUUCUACAAAAAAUUGGAGAAUUCACAAUAUAACAGGCCAUUAUCCUAGCCUACAUGAGAAUGUAAGGAUUUUUACCAACUACCCAAAUUCAAGUAUAAAUCAGGAACAAUUACUGACAUGCAUGUAAAAAAUCUAGCAAGACAGGGAUUUUUAACAGCUACCCAAAGUUUGAAUUGUCCUUGAACUAUCAGUUUAAGAAACCUUUUUCCCUUUUCUACCAAUUUCUGACAAAAUCUGAAGUGUGUAACAGUUUAUACCAUGGUGCAAAGACUUGUUUCCCGAAUGUCUGGUUUGCCUUCCUAAUGAAUGCUUUUCUCCGGAAAAAACUGGAUUACUUUUAUCGCCAAGCAAAGGGUCAAGGACACAUAGAAGACGAGUGAUAAACAAACUUUUCCAAUUUCCUUCUUUCUCAUCAAUACGAAAUCAACAAACACAGAAGAAACUUCCUUUUUUUUAAAAAAAACAGCAGUUUUGCUUAUCUUUUGAGUAAACAAGAAAUGCAAUUAAGUAAAUAAAUCUAAAAGAAAUGGAAAUAAGAGAGAAAGAACACAUCUAGGAGGUUGAAGUAAGCAAUAGCAUAUCCUGGGUCACUUCCCAAGGGGCACCAAUAAUGACCUCAUCAACAUAGCGGCGGGCAAGUACACUAAGACUUCGCUCCUGCAGAUUCAUCAGACGACCGUAAUAUUAGGAUAAAAAUAAUAAUAAUAAUCUGAAAGCAAUCAAUUUGACAGCUGAACACAAAAAAUAAAUUACCAAAAACAGAAGAAACAGAUUAAAAUGCUACACAAAGCCUCUAUACUCUAACAUAAAUA
This 1018-nucleotide long non-coding RNA is filed under the name Nicotiana benthamiana. RNAcentral describes it as "long non-coding RNA (NBEN_LNC037423)". Lineage: Eukaryota; Viridiplantae; Streptophyta; Magnoliopsida; Solanales; Solanaceae. The record is from RNAcentral.